This 659-nucleotide ribosomal RNA is filed under the name Enterobacter mori. RNAcentral's name for it is "partial 16S rRNA". Lineage: Bacteria; Pseudomonadati; Pseudomonadota; Gammaproteobacteria; Enterobacterales; Enterobacteriaceae. The record is from RNAcentral.
CGUCAGUCUUUGUCCAGGGGGCCGCCUUCGCCACCGGUAUUCCUCCAGAUCUCUACGCAUUUCACCGCUACACCUGGAAUUCUACCCCCCUCUACAAGACUCUAGCCUGCCAGUUUCGAAUGCAGUUCCCAGGUUGAGCCCGGGGAUUUCACAUCCGACUUGACAGACCGCCUGCGUGCGCUUUACGCCCAGUAAUUCCGAUUAACGCUUGCACCCUCCGUAUUACCGCGGCUGCUGGCACGGAGUUAGCCGGUGCUUCUUCUGCGGGUAACGUCAAUUGCUGAGGUUAUUAACCUCAACACCUUCCUCCCCGCUGAAAGUACUUUACAACCCGAAGGCCUUCUUCAUACACGCGGCAUGGCUGCAUCAGGCUUGCGCCCAUUGUGCAAUAUUCCCCACUGCUGCCUCCCGUAGGAGUCUGGACCGUGUCUCAGUUCCAGUGUGGCUGGUCAUCCUCUCAGAUCAGCUAGGGAUCGUCGCCUAGGUGAGCCGUUACCCCACCUACUAGCUAAUCCCAUCUGGGCACAUCUGAUGGCAAGAGGCCCGAAGGUCCCCCUCUUUGGUCUUGCGACGUUAUGCGGUAUUAGCUACCGUUUCCAGUAGUUAUCCCCCUCCAUCAGGCAGUUUCCCAGACAUUACUCACCCGUCCGCCGCUCGCC